Molecule: ribosomal RNA, 253 nt
Filed under: uncultured bacterium
Lineage: Bacteria
Description: partial 16S ribosomal RNA
Rfam family: Bacterial small subunit ribosomal RNA
Source: RNAcentral
CACGUAGGGUGCGAGCGUUGUCCGGAAUUAUUGGGCGUAAAGGGCUCGUAGGCGGUUUGUCGCGUCGGGAGUGAAAUCACCGGGCUUAACUCGGUGCUUGCUUUCGAUACGGGCAGACUGGAGGCAUGCAGGGGAGAACGGAAUUCCUGGUGUAGCGGUGAAAUGCGCAGAUAUCAGGAGGAACACCGGUGGCGAAGGCGGUUCUCUGGGCAUGUCCUGACGCUGAGGAGCGAAAGUGUGGGGAGCGAACAGG